UAACUGACGUUGAACGGGAAUAGUAGAUACGCAGCAUGCUUCAGAGAGAAGGCGGCAGGUGAGAGCCUUUGCAUUACGGUAUGGAACCGGCCCGGGAGUCUCUGUAUGAAAGUACAGCGUAGGUCCUGCGUUAAAGGAGAAGAAAGUGAAUGCAGAUACAGAGAUCAUUUGUAUUGGUUUUGAUUAUAGAAUGGAUGUAUUGCAUUAAUUAGGGUGGUACCGCCGGAGAUAUUCGGUCCCUAUC
Molecule: non-coding RNA, 244 nt
Organism: Ruminococcus sp. CAG:9-related_41_34
Lineage: Bacteria; Bacillati; Bacillota; Clostridia; Eubacteriales; Oscillospiraceae
Source: Rfam